ACAGGUGGGUAGGAUGAGAAUUCUAAGGCGCUUGAGAGAACUCAGGAGAAGGAACUCGGCAAAAUAGCACCGUAACUUCGGGAAAAGGUGUGCCCUUGGUAUGUCUAGCGCCUUGCGCGUGAAGCAGAACAGGGUUGCAAUGAAUUGGUGGCUGCGACUGUUUAAUAAAAACAUAGCACUCUGCAAACACGUAAGUGGACGUAUAGAGUGUGACGCCUGCCCGGUGCCGGAAGGUUAAAUGAUGGGGUGCAAGCUCUUGAUUGAAGCCCCGGUAAACGGCGGCCGUAACGAUGACGGUCCUAAGGUAGCGAAAUUCCUUGUCGGGUAAGUUCCGACCUGCACGAAUGGCGUAACGAUGGCCACACUGUCUCCUCCUGGGACUCAGCGAAGUUGAAAUGUUUGUGAAGAUGCAAUCUACCCGCGGCUAGACGGAAAGACCCCGUGCACCUUUACUGUAGCUUUACAUUGGACUUUGAUAACAUUUGUGUAGGAUAGGUGGGAGGCUUUGAAGUGAAUUCGCUAGAAUUCAUGGAGCCAUCGUUGAAAUACCACCCUGGUGUUGUUGAGGUUCUAACCUAAAUCCAUUAUCUGGAUUGGGGACCGUGUAUGGUAGGCAGUUUGACUGGGGCGGUCUCCUCCCAAAUCGUAACGGAGGAGUACGAAGGUACGCUAGGUACGGUCGGAAAUCGUGCUGAUAGUGCAAUGGCAAAAGCGUGCUUAACUGCGAGACUGACAAGUCGAGCAGGUGCGAAAGCAGGUCAUAGUGAUCCGGUGGUUCUGUAUGGAAGGGCCAUCGCUCAACGGAUAAAAGGUACGCCGGGGAUAACAGGCUGAUUCCUCCCAAGAGUUCAUAUCGACGGGGGAGUUUGGCACCUCGAUGUCGGCUCAUCACAUCCUGGGGCUGUAGCCGGUCCCAAGGGUAUGGCUGUUCGCCAUUUAAAGUGGUACGUGAGCUGGGUUUAAAACGUCGUGAGACAGUUUGGUCCCUAUCUGCCGUGGGCGUUGGAAGUUUGAGAGGACCUGCUCCUAGUACGAGAGGACCGGAGUGGACGCACCUCUGGUGUACCGGUUAUGACGCCAGUCGUAUCGCCGGGUAGCUAUGUGCGGACGAGAUAACCGCUGAAAGCAUCUAAGCGGGAAACUCUCCUCAAGGUAAGACUUCCCGAGGGUAUAACCCUCCUAAAGGUUCGUCGAAGACUACGACGUUGAUAGGUCGGGUGUGGAAGCAUAGUAAUAUGUUAAGCUAACCGAUACUAAUUGACCGUGAGGCUUGAUCG
This 1277-nucleotide ribosomal RNA is filed under the name metagenome. Its description in RNAcentral is "bacterial LSU rRNA". It matches the Rfam family "Bacterial large subunit ribosomal RNA", at positions 1659 to 2925 of the family's 2925-position model. The record is from RNAcentral.